AUUGAACGCUGGCGGCAGGCCUAACACAUGCAAGUCGAACGAGUGGCGGACGGGUGAGUAAUGUAUGGGAAACUGCCUGAUGGAGGGGGAUAACUACUGGAAACGGUAGCUAAUACCGCAUACCAUCGGAUGUGCCCAUAUGGGAUUAGCUUGUUGGUGGGGUAACGGCUCACCUAGGCGACGAUCCCUAGCUGGUCUGAGAGGAUGACCAGCCACACUGGAACUGAGACACGGCCCAGACUCCUACGGGAGGCAGCAGUGGGGAAUAUUGCACAAUGGGCGCAAGCCUGAUACAGCCAUGCCGCGUGUAUGAAGAAGGCCUUCGGGUUGUAAAGUACUUUCAGCGGGGAGGCGUUACCCGCAGAAGAAGCACCGGCUAACUCCGUGCCAGCGGCCGCGGUAAUAC
Molecule: ribosomal RNA, 406 nt
Filed under: uncultured bacterium
Lineage: Bacteria
Description: partial 16S ribosomal RNA
Rfam family: Bacterial small subunit ribosomal RNA
Source: RNAcentral